GCUAGUAAUGGCAGGUCAGCAUACUGCCGUGAAUACGUUCCCGGGCCUUGUACACACCGCCCGUCACACCAUGAGAGUUGGAAAUACCCGAAGCCUGUGAGCUAACUGUAAAGAGGCAGCAGUCGAAGGUAGAGCCAAUGAUUGGGGGUGAAGUCGUAACAAGGUAUC
This 168-nucleotide ribosomal RNA is filed under the name uncultured bacterium. RNAcentral's name for it is "partial 16S ribosomal RNA". It matches the Rfam family "Bacterial small subunit ribosomal RNA", at positions 1334 to 1500 of the family's 1533-position model. The record is from RNAcentral.